AGGCUGCAACUCGCCUGCAUGAAGUCGGAAUUGCUAGUAAUCGUAGGUCAGCAUACUACGGUGAAUACGUUCCCGGGCCUUGUACACACCGCCCGUCACACCAUGAGAGUCGGGAACACCCGAAGUCCGUAGUCUAACCGCAAGGAGGGCGCGGCCGAAGGUGGGUUCGAUAAUUGGGGUGAAGUCGUAACAAGGUAAC
Molecule: ribosomal RNA, 199 nt
Filed under: uncultured bacterium
Lineage: Bacteria
Description: partial 16S ribosomal RNA
Rfam family: Bacterial small subunit ribosomal RNA
Source: RNAcentral